This is a long non-coding RNA of Drosophila santomea, 604 nucleotides long. RefSeq lists it as uncharacterized. The record is from RefSeq and is a predicted model, not a curated record. NCBI's taxonomy places the organism in Eukaryota, Metazoa, Arthropoda, Insecta, Diptera, Drosophilidae. The transcript has 3 exons.
AUUACAUACUUCAGGCUAUAUUUUAUGAAUACUUUUGAAAUAUCUUUGGAUUUUUUCUAUCUGUAUGAAUUUUAACCCUUUUUGGGAGUGGAAAGUUGAACAUGAGGCCCGUCGAAUGCCAUGCAUACUCACACAUUCCUGAUCACAAUUGAAUUGUGCCAAAGAUUUAUUUAAACCAAAGAGAUGAUUUAUCCGCCAGUUACCACCACAAAGAGCAAAGAACGAACAAAGGAAUUGCCAUUUCUGGAUAUUCCGACACAAAAGGUUAUCCCACACGUGGUGCGAAAGUUCAAUGCUGGAGAUUCACUACUAAAUACCAAGUCUGCCACAUUCAAUACCCUUUUUCCAAAAAAAAAACAAAGUAUUUCAUAUGCUUAACGAACAGGUAUAGAAAGCGAAAAUUACCUUUGAUGGAAUGAAAGAAGAAACAACGAUGGGAAAGCAGAUUUCUUAGCGGGAUUAAAGUUUCUUCGAUGCUGCGCCAAAAACGAAAUGAAUUUAUUGAAUUCGUUAUUGGGGUUUUUUUUUUUGUUCCUAAAUUGUACCGAAAAAGAGACAUUUAGCGAAAUUGGCCAGCAAAAGCCAAUAAACAUUCCAAAUCACA